Molecule: ribosomal RNA, 429 nt
Filed under: uncultured Acidobacterium sp.
Lineage: Bacteria; Pseudomonadati; Acidobacteriota; Terriglobia; Terriglobales; Acidobacteriaceae
Description: bacterial SSU rRNA
Rfam family: Bacterial small subunit ribosomal RNA
Source: RNAcentral
AACGCGAAGAACCUUACCUGGGCUCGAACGGCUUCAGACAGUCGUGGAAACACGAUCUUCCCCUUAAAAGGACUGGAGUCGAGGUGCUGCAUGGCUGUCGUCAGCUCGUGUCGUGAGAUGUUGGGUUAAGUCCCGCAACGAGCGCAACCCUUGUCCUGUGUUGCCACUCCGUAAGGAAGCACUCUCAGGAGACCGCCAGCGAUAAGCUGGAGGAAGGUGGGGAUGAUGUCAAGUCAUCAUGGCCUUUAUGUCCAGGGCUACACACGUGCUACAAUGGGCGGUACAAAGCGCUGCAAACCCGCGAGGGGGAGCUAAUCGCAAAAAACCGUUCUCAGUUCGGAUCGCAGGCUGCAACUCGCCUGCGUGAAGCUGGAAUCGCUAGUAAUGGCGUAUCAGAAUGAUGCCGUGAAUACGUUCCCGGGCCUUGUA